AUUGUUUUUUCAGGCACUUCAUUUGCAUCAAUCUCGAAAAACGGACAAAGGCCAACCUGGGAAAGGUCGAAGAGGACAGGGGCGAUUAUCCAGCAAAAAACUCUCCAAAUUGAAUGCACAUCUCCAUACUAUUGAAGAACCUGAUCGACUUUCAGUGGGACUUCACAUAGAGGUACCAGUUGGAAUACUUUACGAGACAACAUGCAGCCAGGUCAUAAUGGUUAAGUGGGUGUAAAAUGACAAAGUCAUUCACCUAGGACUAAGACUCUUUUGAAAAGGUCCCGUCCGCCCGGCCCUCCUCGAAUCACUAUGCUGCUCCCCGAGUCCCGCCCAGGGGGUGGCAUUGGCCAGAUUGGACCCCGACUCUGUUUCCCCGCUCUCUCCAUGCCACCCGCUUAACCCAUUUCCUGCCACUGGAGCGGCGGGGAGGUC
Carassius carassius (crucian carp) is the source of this 432-nucleotide long non-coding RNA. RefSeq lists it as uncharacterized. The transcript is spliced from 3 exons. The record is from RefSeq and is a predicted model, not a curated record. Lineage: Eukaryota; Metazoa; Chordata; Actinopteri; Cypriniformes; Cyprinidae.